GACGAACGCUGGCGGCGUGCUUAACACAUGCAAGUCGAACGGAAAGGCCCUGCUUUUGGGGGGUGCUCGAGUGGCGAACGGGUGAGUAACACGUGAGUAACCUGCCCUUGACUUUGGGAUAACUUCAGGAAACUGGGGCUAAUACCGGAUAGGAGCUCCUGCUGCACGGAGGGGGUUGGAAAGUUUCGGCGGGUGGGGGUGGACCCGCGGCUUAUCAGCUGGUGUGUGGGGUAGUGGGGCACCGAGGCUUUGAGGGGUAGCCGGCCUGGGAGGGGGAUCAGCCACACUGGAACGGAGACGCGGGCCAGACGCCUGCGGGAGGCAGCAGUGGGGAACAGUGCACAACGGGCGCAAGCCUGAUGCAGCCAUGCCGCGUGGAUGACGAAGGCCUUGGGGUGGUAAAGUACGGUGAGCGGGGAGGAAGGGAGUAAAGUGAAUACCUGUGCUCAUUGACGUUACCCGCAGAAGAAGCACCGGCUAACUCCGUG
This 488-nucleotide ribosomal RNA is filed under the name uncultured bacterium. Its description in RNAcentral is "partial 16S ribosomal RNA". It matches the Rfam family "Bacterial small subunit ribosomal RNA", at positions 28 to 507 of the family's 1533-position model. The record is from RNAcentral.